UGCUUCGUGUUGGAACUUGUGAAGCUUGGUGAUCAGAGUCAGAGGGAUGCUUGGAUCCUCUGACCUUCGUAACUUCUGCUUCUGGACCUUCAGAGCUUCUGAACCUUCAGAGCCUCUGGUCCCUCAGAGCUUCUGGUCUUCAGAUCUUCUGAUCCUCAGAUCUUCUGAUCCUCUGAUCUUCUGAUCCUCUGAUCCUCUGAUCUUCAGAUCCUCUGAUCUUCAGAUCCUCUGAUCCUCUGAUCUUCUGAUCCUCUGAUCCUCUGAUCCUCAGAUCCUCUGAUCUUCAGAUCCUCUGAUCCUCAGAUCUUCUGAUCUUCAGAACUUCUGACGAAUAUAUCUUCUGGUGUCAGAAUCAGAACCUGUUUGUCAAAACACUCAAGACAAACAUUAGAGUAUCAUAGUUGUUCAUCCACAAAUAAAUACUUGUUAUCAUCAAAACAUAGAGUUGUACCACAUGACCAAAUCUUGAUCUUACAA
This 477-nucleotide long non-coding RNA is filed under the name Lotus japonicus. Its description in RNAcentral is "long non-coding RNA (LJAP_LNC002032)". The record is from RNAcentral. Lineage: Eukaryota; Viridiplantae; Streptophyta; Magnoliopsida; Fabales; Fabaceae.